AUGGCCAGGCACGGAUUGAGCGCAUCACAUUUGAGGAGGCGCCAUGUCAAGAGUGCAUCUUGUCAGAACAAAAGCGAAGCAACUGAAUUUUCGAACCGCACACAUAGUGCUUGGAGGGAGCAGGAAGACAUAUUUGGGGCGGUGCUAGUCAAUAAGAAAUCAAGGGGAGAUAUAGAUACCCAGAGCAGGCAGGGUGGCAAGACACAGUCUCCGGUAUGGGAGCACUUUGUCAUCUCAGAAGCUGAUGAGAACAGCAGGCCUGUGAAAGCCAAGUGUGUUCACUGUGCCUCAGAGCUCAACUGUGGACCCAAACAUGGGACGUCAGGUUUGAAACGCCAUAUUGAUAGUGCAGCUUGUACCAAGAAAAAACAAGCAGCCGACAAGCCGCUAAACACUUCAAGCAGCGCUGACAGUAUAGAAAAUGUUGAAACUGGUGUGAUUCCUGGUGACAGUAGAAUGGAUGCGGAGUCAACAUGUGGGACCAAACCUAAAACACACCUUUGGAACAAGGCUGAAUCUUUGCAUAUGAUACAAGAAAUAACUCGCCUGUUACAAGACAUAUCUGGGGUUCUGAGUAAGGUUCUCAAGUUAUAUGGAUCAGAUUUUGUUGCAAGCUCAAAUCACUAUCGAAGUACAAUAUCGGAUCAACACCUACGAACAUCAAGUGUUGUUGCAAGGAAAGUCUAUGGAAGAGUUACAGAGAAGGACUACAUCAUAAAGUUCAUGACACAAGACAAACCCGAUGGUUCAUAUCAUAUGUUCUUCCUAUUGUAG
RNAcentral lists this ribosomal RNA (774 nucleotides) under Triticum aestivum (bread wheat). RNAcentral describes it as "partial small subunit ribosomal RNA". Lineage: Eukaryota; Viridiplantae; Streptophyta; Magnoliopsida; Poales; Poaceae. The record is from RNAcentral.